AGGUUAACCGAAUAGGGGAGCCGUAGGGAAACCGAGUCUUAAUAGGGCGCAUUAGUUGCUGGGUAUAGACCCGAAACCAGGUGAUCUAUCCAUGAGCAGGUUGAAGGUUGGGUAACACUAACUGGAGGACCGAACCCACUGUCGUUGAAAAGCCAGGGGAUGACUUGUGGAUAGGGGUGAAAGGCUAAUCAAACUUGGUGAUAGCUGGUUCUCCCCGAAAGCUAUUUAGGUAGCGCCUCGGACGAAUACCAUUGGGGGUAGAGCACUGUUUCGGCUAGGGGGUCAUCCCGACUUACCAAACCGAUGCAAACUCCGAAUACCAAUGAGUACUAUCCGGGAGACAGACUGCGGGUGCUAACGUCCGUAGUCAAGAGGAAAACAAUCCAGACCGCCAGCUAAGGCCCCAAAAUUAUAGUUAAGUGGGAAACGAUGUGGGAAGGCAUAGACAGCUAGGAGGUUGGCUUAGAAGCAGCCACCCUUUAAAGAAAGCGUAAUAGCUCACUAGUCGAGUCGGCCUGCGCGGAAGAUGUAACGGGGCUAAAACUAUAUGCCGAAGCUGCGGAUGCAUAAUUUAUUAUGCGUGGUAGGGGAGCGUUCUGUAAGCCGAUGAAGGUGGAUUGAGAAGUCUGCUGGAGGUAUCAGAAGUGCGAAUGCUGACGUGAGUAACGACAAUGCGAGUGAAAAACUCGCACGCUGAAAGACCAAGGGUUCCAGUCCAACGUUAAUCGGGGCUGGGUGAGUCGACCCCUAAGGCGAGGCCGAGAGGCGUAGUCGAUGGGAAAUUGGUUAAUAUUCCAAUACUUCUGUGUAAUGCGAUGAGAGGACGGAGAAGGUUAAGUCAGCCUGGCGUUGGUUGUCCAGGUGAAAGGUUGUAGGCAUGCAUCUUAGGCAAAUCCGGGGUGCUCUAUGCUGAGAACUGAUAGCAAGCUGUACUUGUACAGUGAAGUGGCUGAUACCAUGCUUCCAGGAAAAGUCUCUAAGCUUCAGUUACACAGGAAUCGUACCCGAAACCGACACAGGUGGUCAGGUCGAGUAGACCAAAGCGCUUGAGAGAACUCUGCUGAAGGAACUAGGCAAAAUGGUACCGUAACUUCGGGAGAAGGUACGCUGCUUUUGGUGAUGGAACUUGCUUCCUGAGCUGAGAGCAGCCACAGAAACCAGGCCCCUGCAACUGUUUAUUAAAAACAUAGCACUCUGCAAACACGAAAGUGGACGUAUAGGGUGUGAUGCCUGCCCGGUGCUGGAAGGUUAAUUGAUGGGGUUAGCGUAAGCGAAGCUCUUGAUCGAAGCCCCAGUAAACGGCGGCCGUAACUAUAACGGUCCUAAGGUAGCGAAAUUCCUUGUCGGGUAAGUUCCGACCUGCACGAAUGGCAUAAUGAUGGGGGCGCUGUCUCCAGCAGAGACUCAGUGAAAUCGAAUUCGCCGUGAAGAUGCGGUGUACCCGCGGCUAGACGGAAAGACCCCGUGAACCUUUACUGCAGCUUGACAUUGAACUUUGAUCUUACUUGUGUAGGAUAGGUGGGAGGCUUUGAAACCGAGACGCUAGUUUCGGUGGAGCCAAUCUUGAAAUACCACCCUGGUAAUAUUGAGGUUCUAACUCUGCUCCAUGAUCUGGAGCGAGGACCAUGUCUGGUGGGUAGUUUGACUGGGGCGGUCUCCUCCUAAAGAGUAACGGAGGAGUACGAAGGUGCGCUCAGCGUGGUCGGAAAUCACGCGUAGAGUAUAAAGGCAAAAGCGCGCUUAACUGCGAGACCCACAAGUCGAGCAGGUACGAAAGUAGGUCUUAGUGAUCCGGUGGUUCUGUAUGGAAGGGCCAUCGCUCAACGGAUAAAAGGUACUCUGGGGAUAACAGGCUGAUACCGCCCAAGAGUUCAUAUCGACGGCGGUGUUUGGCACCUCGAUGUCGGCUCAUCUCAUCCUGGGGCUGAAGCAGGUCCCAAGGGUAUGGCUGUUCGCCAUUUAAAGAGGUACGCGAGCUGGGUUUAGAACGUCGUGAGACAGUUCGGUCCCUAUCUACCGUGGGCGUUGGAAAUUUGAGAGGAUCUGCUCCUAGUACGAGAGGACCAGAGUGGACGAACCUCUGGUGUACCGGUUGUGACGCCAGUCGCAUCGCCGGGUAGCUAUGUUCGGAAGGGAUAACCGCUGAAAGCAUCUAAGCGGGAAGCCUACCUCAAGAUAAGAUUUCCC
This 2187-nucleotide ribosomal RNA is filed under the name Acinetobacter pseudolwoffii. Its description in RNAcentral is "partial 23S ribosomal RNA". It matches the Rfam family "Bacterial large subunit ribosomal RNA", at positions 643 to 2815 of the family's 2925-position model. The record is from RNAcentral. Lineage: Bacteria; Pseudomonadati; Pseudomonadota; Gammaproteobacteria; Moraxellales; Moraxellaceae.